UCCUAUUAGUCAUGGGAUGAAACGAGAUGCUGGGCUCCAUAGCCAUGGCAGGCAACAACUGGCACAACAUCCUGAGCUUCUGCAAGCUGAUUGCUGGCAGUUCCCAAAUGCAGGGCCUAAUUCUGUAGUUACAAUUCAAGCUCUACGGUAAUCAUUACGUGCAGGAAAAAGAGACCUCUCAUUUUAUUCUGAGCUCACUAUUAACGGGAAGGGGAUUUUCUGUUGUGUUUUGUCUUGCCAACAUUGCUAAUGAAUGUGUAAACACCUCCUGGCAUAGAUUUACCAGUUUACCGAGGUUGGAGUUCGCACUGCUAACACUCCUCCCUGUACAGAGCACUCUGUUCGUUAACCUUGGGCAGCCACUAAUUAGUGGGUCACUUGCAGGUCAGAGGUGUGCUUGUGCUGUGCUUCUUGGCUGGCUGUUGUGUUAUUACUGCGACUGGAAGUGCCACAUGUGGCAGGCUUGCAGUGUGUGUUUGGAAGGCUGGCUGUGCAAUUAGAGUGCGUUAUCCCAAAGCAGAGGAUGCCAGCUGACGUUCAAGAAGCAAUAAAAGCAGUGAUAUCUUUCCUGCUUCCUUCACAACAAAUAGAGUGCUGCUGAGGUUCAGUGGUUCAAAACAUUCAGCUGUUGGUGGUUUUAGCAGAUUGGGGAUGUUUCCUCUUGGAAAAAUAGCUCAACAGCCCCACAUCCAUCCAACCCAGCAGCACACCCUGCCCUCGGAUUGGCCACAACUGCGCAGUGUACGUAGCUAAGCAGCACUGCUUAUGGCAGAGACUCAGAGGACAUGAGUUGGGUAUGAAAACAUAAUCAUGAGUUUAUUUGAAUAAUGAGUUGUUAAAAUAUUUUGCUUUCCUUUCAUUUGCCCUCAGUUUUCCUGGCGUUUGCUGUCUUCAUUUCCAAGCUUCUUCCCUCUCCAGUCCUUUGCAGAGAAUUCUAUGGAGGUGUUUCUGCUUGGCUGAAGUUCUGAAGAGCAGCAUUCUUUCUCACACCAUUGCGUGACUCCUCCUGGGGCCCUUGUUGGUCAUUAAACAUGUUGAGAGCUCUGCCUUUGCUCUUGACACAACGUUAAGAAUGUGAUGAAACUGCAUGGAAACAAAUAGAUUGUAAAUAAGCUUGUUCAGUAAAUAUGCACAAACUGGUCUGGCUACAUCCAGAUGUUCUGGCUUUGUUUCUUCUGCAAUACAGGGCUGGGAGGUCCCUGAGUUAUCGCACCUGGGCGUGUGUUACCUGCUGCUUCUCCACCCUUGAGAUGUACGAUCACAUCAGGACAACCGGUCAGGAUAUGCUACAAAGCAGUAUUUUUGGUCUCCUUGACUUAGCAGAAAGUACAACGUUGAAUCUUGGGGAGGAGGGACCACAAGGUGGAGCGCCGUGAAGUGCUGCCCGUUGGCCAUCCCUGCAGCUGCCAUGCUCAACAGCUGACUGGGGUUGGGGCACAGGAUGGAGCUGUUACUUUCCCUGCUCAGAAGAGGGCAAUCAACAAAACCUUAGGGCAGCUCCAAGGGACAUGAGAAUCUUGCUUUACACGUGCACAGAGCAACCCUGGAAAGAGUGAAAUGAAGAACUGGCAAGGAAAGUUGAAGGUGGUGUGCUGUCCCAAGCAUGCAGGUAUGGUGAGUGUGUUCAAAUAGAUCUUGAAGCUGAAAUUUAACAUCCUAUAACAAGAACUGAAGCCUCAUGUACACAGCAUGCACCUUUGGGGUUAUGCUUAGAGAGGAUGUCCAGUGGGCAUAUCUGGGAGGUGAUUUCCCAACAAUUAGCAAUUCUUGUGCUGAAAUCAAUGGGAAUGGAGCUGUGAAACGGUGAGUGUUGGGUGGUGUCACCCCUCCUGUAUUUAAGAGCGAAGAUGUGGAGACUCAGCAGAGUGCAAAAUGGAAAAACAGAUCCAAUUGCGUUUGGGCUUUGAAAUAUAGAUAAUCUCGUAUGUAGCUGCCUGGUAGUGUGUACCUGUUGUGUGGCAUGGUGUGUAAUUGCAGUGUUGGUAUCGUAUAUAGAUGUUAAUGUAACAGAUCUAGGGCUAUAGGUCUAGAAGACACAUCUGAUCUUGAAUCAGUGACAUUCUGCUGUAUCUCUGUCUGCCAUCCCACACCACAUACGCAGAAGCAGUCGCCAUGCAGCACGCCGUGGACAGCCCAGCAAUCUGUAAGCUGAUUUAUCACAUCCCUUUGAUCCCCUCCCUGGACCAGUGCUCGCCAAGACCUUCCUACAGGCACUGCUUGUGUUGACCCAGACCUGCCCACAGCUUCAGCCAGCUGCCGUUUUGACAGUCAAACUGCCUGGGGAAUCCUGCUUCCACCGUGGCUCCAAAGAAAAAUAUCUUCUCCGCAUUACAUUGAUUUAAACAGCACAUGCAGCGUUUGGCUUUGGUUCAAUGGCAGACUAAAGGUCCUCUACAUUAUAAACUAUCAGGGCUAGAAAGAUUUGCUCUAUAAAUGGCUCCGUAUGCGUACACACUGUAUAUAUAUUAUGGAUCUGCUUAUGUCAUGGAGCACUUCAAAUAUCCCUUAAUAAAAUAAUAGACCCCUAGGUAGCUGUAUAUACUGGCAGAAAGUUGUUCAGCCUUUUGGAGCCAUGGAAAAUGUUAGUGCUCCUAAACAGUUCUUCUUUUCCUCAGUGUGGGUAAUUAAAACCUCGGGACAUCCUGGAUCUCCUUGCAGGCUGUGGUGCACCGUGGUCCCGAACCUGACGGGAGCACUUUGUGGGAGAAAUAGCAGCUGUUUAAAGAGAUUGAAAGGGGCUUGCUUGUCUCCUGGCUGGACCUGGAGGCUGAUGAGCAGAGAGGAAUUGGUUCUUAGCUUUGCACACAGGGGCUGGGACAUGGGAUGUCACUGGUGGUUUCACACUUUUCAGUGUUAAGCUGUUGUUGCAGUUGGAGAUGUGGUGAGGUCGACCCCCGGGGCAGCGCUCGUGGCUCUGUGUUACACCAUGCUGGGAAGUGGGUUUGGUCCUGUCUGAGUGAAUGGACCCGUGAGGAUAAAGCUUUGCCUUGUAGUAGUGACACUGUCCUAUCCUCAAGGUGGUUUUGGGGAUGGGGCCCUUUAGGAUCCAUAAGGAUGGCUUCCCAACCAUUCCCAACUCCUCCAACCUUUUGUCUCUGCUGCCUAAAUCCAGGCAGCAAACACAGGGCUGCUUUUGUCACAACAAGAGAAAGCAAAGAUUGAUGGCCAAGCUCUGAGCACCUCUCUGCCCUGAAUUUAGCUUUCCGUUUGCCUUUAAUUUAUUAUUUGCAGUUAAUUUAAUCCAUAUUGAGCUGCCUCAAAGAGAAAAAAGCUCUAGAUUUGGUGAAAAAUAAUCUAUUUUUAAUUAUUUCUGAUGUAGAACACUAGCCCAUAAAUAAA
Molecule: long non-coding RNA, 3339 nt
Organism: Meleagris gallopavo (turkey)
Lineage: Eukaryota; Metazoa; Chordata; Aves; Galliformes; Phasianidae
Source: RefSeq, a predicted model, not a curated record